This is a long non-coding RNA of Rhincodon typus (whale shark), 3778 nucleotides long. RefSeq lists it as uncharacterized. The transcript is spliced from 3 exons. Lineage: Eukaryota; Metazoa; Chordata; Chondrichthyes; Orectolobiformes; Rhincodontidae. The record is from RefSeq and is a predicted model, not a curated record.
UGAUUCUGAGGUAAAUCUUGCACGAAAGACCUUUCUCUCAGGUCACCUUGGACUUUUUUCUUAUUCAUUCACAGGAUGUGGACAUCACUGGCUAGGCCAGCAUUUAUUUCCCAUUCCUAACUGUACUGGAAAUGAUGGUGAUGAGCUACCUUCUUGAAUCGCUGCAGGCCUAAAAGUCCAACUACUCUUGCCCUUAGGAAAGGGGUCACUGGGAGAGCAACAGUGAAGCAACAGCAAUAUAUUUCCAAGUCAGGAUGGUAUGAUGAUUGUUGUAUAUAUUGGGAGCUGAAGGGCUCACCUGCUAAUUAGCCAUCUUGGAAAGGCAAUGGAGCUAGACCCUUGAAUACACACUAAUUUUCAGCAGCUGCUUUUGCACAGCAGAGAGAAGGAAAAUUAAUUUGUGACAAGGACUGGAACUCUCUCUCCUCUACCUGCGCCUUUGAAAAACAGCACCCAGUGAAUACAGCAACCUUGGUAAUUCUCAAAUAAGAAGAAAAAUGCUCAAGAAUCUCAACAGAGAGAGAGAGAGAGAGAGAGAGAAAACAGAGUCAAGACUUUGAGUGGAAUAAUGACUUCUUCAGAAUUAAAAGGUGGUGGAAAACUGUGUAUUUUGUACUGAUGCCAGAGAGGGAGGAGGAGCAAGUGGAUCAGAUUGGCAGAAUGAUUGGGUGCUUCAUUUUCUCAUGAGCAACGUUUUAACUGAAGUGUGACAGCUGCACGAUCAAAAUAAAUUGAAAGACAAUUGUUGCAACCGACUGAGAUGAGGUUAAAAACGAAGGAGCGAAUUCCUCCUCAGUGUCAGCUCCAGUUUUGUCUACUUCAGUAUUCUUGUCAGCUUCCAUUUUUCUGCUUUCCAUGUACUUUUUUCAAAAAUACAGCUGACCAUUUUCUGUCUAACCCCUCUUUGUUGAGCUUCGCUGGCCCUCUUCCCUAUGGUCGGUGGGUAACACACUUAACUCUAUCACGAGGCCAGGGCUUCUAAGGGCCAGUCCAGAAACCUAAGCAAAUUUAAGUUGGCAAAUUAGUGCACAACUGAGAAGGUGCUGCACUGUUGGCCACAGCAUCCUUUCUUAGGAUGAGAUGCGAUUGAGAUGUCACUUUUUUCCUCAUAGAUUUGGAAAGAAGAGGUUACAUAAUUGUUUCGUAUUGAUCUUUGGCUGGACUGCACUAGAGAACUCAUUCUACUGACUAUGUUAUUGAAAGGAUACAGAGUACAAUGGUGUCGAAAAUAUGUGGGGCUACAGGUCGGGAGCUGAAGUCAAAAAAAGAUGUAAGAACUAGGAGCAGGAGUAGGCCAUUCAGCCCCUUAGAAAGCUAUUGUACUGAGGCUGGAUCUUCACAAGAGGGUUCAAAAAAACUGAGACUGACAGACUUUAGCUUAGCAAGGCUUUUAAUGGGGAAUGGAAUCAAGGUGGGUAAAUGGAAUAUAAGAUACAUACAGGUCGACCCCAAGAAAAUAGAAAAAAAAUGGGACAGAUCCUCUUUCUGCUGGAAGCAGGGUCCGUGAAUAUAUUUAAGGCAGAGAUAGAUAGAUUCUUAUUAAUUAAGGAGGUGAAAGGUUAUUAGGAGUGGGCAGGAAUGCAGAUUUAAGGGUACAAAUUAAGCCAGCUGUGACACUAUUGAAAGCUGCAUUUGCUAACAACAAGAGGCAUGUGCAUUUGCAGCAAUAUCUGUCAUAAAUAUAGUAAGAAAUGUUUACAAAUUAAUGGUACAAUUUUAACGAAACUGUAUAUCUGGUCAGAUAAAUGAAAUAUUAAACAAAGUAGAACUAUUUUUAUUCCAAAACAAUAUCAGCUUCAUAUUGUGUGCAGCCAGCAAUAAUCAUAGGAUCCCUACAGUGUGGAAGCAGGCCAUUCAGCCCAUUGAGUCUACACUGACCCUCUGAAGAGCAUCCCACACAAACCCACCUGCCCCACCCUACACCCGUAACCCUACAUUUCCCAUUGGUGUGAGCAAGCAGAUCCAUUACGGAAUGGCAGGACAAGCUCGAGGGCUGAAUGGCCUACUCCUGCUUCUAUGUUCGAAGACUGAAUUUGUUCCCCCACUUGUUCAAACUGAGCAACGUGUUUCAAAACAUAAAUACAUCAUUUGAACAUUUAAGUGUUGUUCUAAUGAAGGAAAUAGGAAGAGGAUUCCAAUAAUAUUGUGCAAAGUGGAUUCCAGGUGAGCGUUCCUACGAAUCAAACUUUAAUGUUAGUUUUUUUUAAAAUGAAUUGGGAAAUGCCUUAGUACCUCUGCGGCCUUUCUUGCAAGUUCGCGUUGUAACUUCCUCUUCUCCAGGAUGUCCUGAUGAAUCCUUCUCUGCCGCUCCUCCUCCAUUCUUUUCUUCUCCUCCUCUUGCCUUACCUUUUCCAUUUCCUCAAACUUGCCCUUGACUGUCCCUGUGGAUACAGGAAGGCAUACGCUCAUUUCUUUUUGUCCCCAAGUUCUGACGCCUGACGGGAACACUGAAAGUUUGGGCGAAUUCGAUUUCAGUUGCUGCUACCUGUCAUUUUAGGGACGUACGCCUUCUUCAGUUCGUUUGAUUUGUUCUCAUCUUCAUCAUCUGAAGCAAGUAGUUCCCUUAGCUGAAAUAAAUCAAGGGGAAAAAGAGGUUCAGCAUCUUUUUUUUUUGCAACAUUAAAUCCACUUACAUCCAGCAGCAGCACCAAGGACCUAUCAACUCUAUUACAAAACAAUAACCCAAUGUAAGGGGUCAGGUGAUUUUGAGGACCGAAGCUGAUGUUGGACCGAAGAGAGAAUUGGGGAAGAAUUGGGUAGAACAAACCUGAGGGUGAACACAUUUGAAUGUUUCCUUUGUGACUUUUACCUCAUGGUUAAUGUUAACGGUAACACGAUUUUAGUAAAGGUCAGAAAUGGGAGCUGGAUUGGGCCUCUGGCCUUCCAGGUCCACUCUAUCAUUCAAUAAAGUCACGGCUGAUCUUCUAUCUCACUCCAUCUUCCUACACAGUCCCUGAUUUCCUUAAUUCCCCAAGAACAUAAAAAUAUGUCGAAUUCUGUCUAAAAUAUAUUUUAAACCGAGCGCCCUUGGAUAGACAAUUCCAAAGCUUCACCAUCCUCUGACGCUAAAUUGUGAAUCAAUUAAACAAUUUCCACAGAUCUGUUGUCAGCCUCGUCAGUAUAAAUGAGCAACAAGGUACAGUCAUUCUGAGGGGUAAAACAGAUGUGACUUAUAAACUAAGCAACCUCCUGUUUUAUCUUUGUCCAUUCUUUCUCCUUCUUAUACUGUUCAUUUCUCCUUCUCCUUUCUUCUCCAGAUCUCCUCUUGCUCCUUUCCUCCCGCGCUUUUUGCAUGGCUUCGAACUUAGUCUUAACAUCUCCCUUGGCCAGCUUUGGCACGUAUGAUUUAUGAACAGGUUUAGAUGUAGAUAGAAGCAUCUAUGUGGGUUAGAAAGAAAAAAACAGAGAAAGAAAGGAGGGGGGGAGAAAGAGAUAAAUGAAAGAACUUAACAAAAAGGUGUAAGCUGACGAAAUUUAUUAAACAAAUGAUAGAGAAUUAAAGGAAUGAAGAAGUAUCUUUCACAUUUUCAAUAAUUAACAACUAAUCCAUUGAGAUCCCCUGAAUAUUUCAGCCAAGGUUUGUGUAUCCAGCAUAGCAACAGUUUGUUAAUUUGUGGGUUAAGUUCUUUUUUAAAAAUUAAUGUCUUGAUGGAAAUAAGACAGAAGAGGAAUGUUCUGAUAUCUUUGGUGCUAAUAUUGGAGGUGAUGGCCUAGUAGUAUUAUCUCUGGAUUAAUUAAUCUGGACCAUUAAUCCAGAAACCAAGGUAAUGUUCUGGAU